This 98-nucleotide ribosomal RNA is filed under the name uncultured bacterium. RNAcentral's name for it is "partial 16S ribosomal RNA". It matches the Rfam family "Bacterial small subunit ribosomal RNA", at positions 1388 to 1482 of the family's 1533-position model. The record is from RNAcentral.
CACCGCCCGUCACACCAUGGAAGCCAGCUAGUACCGGAAGUCGGUGCGCCAACCCGCAAGGGAGGUAGCCGCCUAUGGUAUGACUGGUGACUGGGGUG